Non-coding RNA from Pelobates cultripes (western spadefoot toad), 215 nucleotides. Lineage: Eukaryota; Metazoa; Chordata; Amphibia; Anura; Pelobatidae. The record is from the annotation of a GenBank genome assembly.
CCCUAGUCUUAAACUCGAGUCAAUAAGUUUUCCCAGUAUUUGGGGGUAAAAUUAGGGGUCUCGACUUAUAUUUGGGUCGACUUAUACUCGAGUAUAUACGGUAAUAUGUGUGGGUACAGUAAUUGAGUAAGAGGAAAAUCACCGCCGAAAUUUAAAAAGAGCCCCGGUCCUUACUGGUAAGAAAAUAAAAAAAUGGUCUGGUCACUAAGGGGUUA